AGAGUUUGAUCCUGGCUCAGGAUAAACGCUGGCGGCGCACAUAAGACAUGCAAGUCGAACGAACUUAAUUGAGAGCUUGCUCUCAAAGCGGUUAGUGGCGGACUGGUGAGUAACACGUAAGCAACCUGCCUAUUAGAGGGGAAUAACAGCGAGAAAUCGUUGCUAAUACCGCAUAUGCUGUGAGUAUCGCAUGAUACAAGCAGGAAAGGAGCAAUCCGCUAAUAGAUGGGCUUGCGUCUGAUUAGUUAGUUGGUGGGGUAACGGCCUACCAAGACGAUGAUCAGUAGCCGGACUGAGAGGUUGAACGGCCACAUUGGGACUGAGAUACGGCCCAGACUCCUACGGGAGGCAGCAGUCGGGAAUAUUGCGCAAUGGAGGAAACUCUGACGCAGUGACGCCGCGUGCAGGAAGAAGGUUUUCGGAUUGUAAACUGCUUUUAACAGGAAAGAAAAAAAUGACGGUACCUGUUGAAUAAGCUCCGGCUAACUACGUGCCAGCAGCCGCGGUAAUACGUAGGGAGCGAGCGUUAUCCGGAUUUAUUGGGUGUAAAGGGUGCGUAGGCGGCUUUAUAAGUCGGUGGUCUAAGUCCGAAGCUUAACUUCGGUUCGCCAUUGAAACUGUAGAGCUUGAGUAUGGAAGAGGUAAGUGGAAUUUCUAGUGUAGCGGUUAAAUGCGUAGAUAUUAGAAGGAACACCAGUGGCGAAAGCGACUUACUGGUCCACUACUGACGCUGAGGCACGAAAGCGUGGGGAGCAAAUAGGAUUAGAUACCCUAGUAGUCCACGCCGUAAACGAUGGAUACUAGGUGUUGGCAAUGAAUAAUUGUCGGUGCCGGCGCUAACGCAAUAAGUAUCCCACCUGGGGAGUACGACCGCAAGGUUGAAACUCAAAGGAAUUGACGGGGGCCCGCACAAGCAGUGGAGUAUGUG
Molecule: ribosomal RNA, 928 nt
Filed under: human oral metagenome
Description: bacterial SSU rRNA
Rfam family: Bacterial small subunit ribosomal RNA
Source: RNAcentral